GGAGUCCUUAGAAAGGGGGCUGGUGUCCGUACGGGUGGAGCGACCCCAUUACGCUAAAGAUGAAAGGCUGGGGUUGGCUGGCCCUGCUUCUGGGGGCCCUGCUGGGAACCGCCUGGGCUCGGAGGAGCCAGGAUCUCCACUGUGGAGCAUGCAGGGCUCUGGUGGAUGAACUAGAAUGGGAAAUUGCCCAGGUGGACCCCAAGAAGACCAUUCAGAUGGGAUCUUUCCGGAUCAAUCCAGAUGGCAGCCAGUCAGUGGUGGAGGUAACUGUUACUGUUCCCCCAAACAAAGUAGCUCACUCUGGCUUUGGAUGAAAUUCGACUGCUUAAAAAGGACCUUGGUUUAAUAGAAAUGAAGAAAACAGACUCAGAAAAAAGAUUUGGCUCUGUCUCAUUUGGAAGAAGCUGCAGGCUUAUUCCCCAUGCACUUGCUUCCUGGCUGCAAACCUUAAUACUUUGUUUCUGCUGUAGAAUUUGUUAGCAAACAGGGAGUCCUGAUCAGCACCCUUCUCCACAUCCACAUGACUGGUUUUUAAUGUAGCACUGUGGUAUACAUGCAAACAUCCGUUCAAAAUCUGAGUCGGAGCUAAAAAUAAAAAAUGAAAAAACAGAAAUAAGAAUAAAA
This 624-nucleotide long non-coding RNA is filed under the name Homo sapiens (human). RNAcentral describes it as "non-protein coding lnc-PAN2-1:3". The record is from RNAcentral. Lineage: Eukaryota; Metazoa; Chordata; Mammalia; Primates; Hominidae.